This 533-nucleotide ribosomal RNA is filed under the name uncultured bacterium. Its description in RNAcentral is "bacterial SSU rRNA". It matches the Rfam family "Bacterial small subunit ribosomal RNA", at positions 777 to 1302 of the family's 1533-position model. The record is from RNAcentral.
AAUAGAUACCCGGGUAGUCCACGCCCUAAACGAUGCGCAUUAGACCGGUGCAGGUCUGACCCUGUAUUGGUCGUAGAGAAAUUGAUAAAUGCGCCGCCUGGGGAGUACGGUCGCAAGGCUAAAACUCAAAGGAAUUGACGGGGGCUCACACAAGCGGUGGAGCAUGUUGCUUAAUUCGAAGCAACGCGAAGAACCUUACCUGGGUUUGACAUGCACGGAUUAGUUCUUGGAAACAGGGAUGACACCCGCAAGGGUGGAACGUGCACAGGUGCUGCAUGGCUGUCGUCAGCUCGUGCUGUGAAGUGUCGGGUUAAGUCCUCUAACGAGCGCAACCCCUGUCGCUAGUUGCUAACGGGUAAUGCCGAGGACUCUAGCGAGACUGCCGGCGUAAGUCGGAGGAAGGCGGGGAUGACGUCAAGUCCUCAUGGCCCUUACAUCCAGGGUUGCAAACGUGCUACAAUGGUGCGUACAGAGCGACGCGAGGCCGCAAGGCGGAGCAAAUCGCAAAAAACCGCACCCCAGUUCGGAUUGCG